This 127-nucleotide small RNA is filed under the name Marmota monax (woodchuck). The record is from RNAcentral. Lineage: Eukaryota; Metazoa; Chordata; Mammalia; Rodentia; Sciuridae.
GCUGGGUGCAGUGGCAUGCACCUGUAAUCCUAAUGACUUGGGAGGCUGAGGCAGAAGGAUUGCGAGUUCAAAGCCAGCCUUAGCAACUUAGCAAGGCCCUAAGCAACUCAGUGUGACCCUGUCUCCA